CUCAAAGAUUAAGCCAUGCAUGUCUAAGUAUAAGCAAUUAUACAGCGAAACUGCGAAUGGCUCAUUAUAUAAGUUAUCGUUUAUUUGAUAGUACCUUACUACUUGGAUAACCGUGGUAAUUCUAGAGCUAAUACAUGCUAAAAAUCCCGACUUCGGAAGGGAUGUAUUUAUUAGAUUAAAAACCAAUGCCCUUCGGGGCUCUCUGGUGAUUCAUGAUAACUUCUCGAAUCGCACGGCCUUGCGCCGGCGAUGGCUCAUUCAAAUUUCUUCCCUAUCAACUUUCGAUGUUUGGGUCUUGGCCAAACAUGGUUGCAACGGGUAACGGAGGGUUAGGGCUCGACCCCGGAGAAGGAGCCUGAGAAACGGCUACUACAUCCAAGGAAGGCAGCAGGCGCGCAAAUUACCCAAUCCCGACACGGGGAGGUAGUGACAAUAAAUACUGAUACAGGGCUCUUUUGGGUCUUGUAAUUGGAAUGAGUACAAUUUAAAUCCCUUAACGAGGAACAAUUGGAGGGCAAGUCUGGUGCCAGCAGCCAAUC
Molecule: ribosomal RNA, 539 nt
Filed under: uncultured fungus
Lineage: Eukaryota; Fungi
Description: SSU rRNA
Rfam family: Eukaryotic small subunit ribosomal RNA
Source: RNAcentral